RNAcentral lists this ribosomal RNA (1372 nucleotides) under uncultured bacterium. RNAcentral's name for it is "bacterial SSU rRNA". It matches the Rfam family "Bacterial small subunit ribosomal RNA", at positions 28 to 1381 of the family's 1533-position model. The record is from RNAcentral.
GAUGAACGCUGGCGGCGUGCCUAAUACAUGCAAGUCGAGCGAACGGACGAGAAGCUUGCUUCUCUGAUGUUAGCGGCGGACGGGUGAGUAACACGUGGAUAACCUACCUAUAAGACUGGGAUAACUUCGGGAAACCGGAGCUAAUACCGGAUAAUAUUUUGAACCGCAUGGUUCAAAAGUGAAAGACGGUCUUGCUGUCACUUAUAGAUGGAUCCGCGCUGCAUUAGCUAGUUGGUAAGGUAACGGCUUACCAAGGCAACGAUGCAUAGCCGACCUGAGAGGGUGAUCGGCCACACUGGAACUGAGACACGGUCCAGACUCCUACGGGAGGCAGCAGUAGGGAAUCUUCCGCAAUGGGCGAAAGCCUGACGGAGCAACGCCGCGUGAGUGAUGAAGGUCUUCGGAUCGUAAAACUCUGUUAUUAGGGAAGAACAUAUGUGUAAGUAACUGUGCACAUCUUGACGGUACCUAAUCAGAAAGCCACGGCUAACUACGUGCCAGCAGCCGCGGUAAUACGUAGGUGGCAAGCGUUAUCCGGAAUUAUUGGGCGUAAAGCGCGCGUAGGCGGUUUUUUAAGUCUGAUGUGAAAGCCCACGGCUCAACCGUGGAGGGUCAUUGGAAACUGGAAAACUUGAGUGCAGAAGAGGAAAGUGGAAUUCCAUGUGUAGCGGUGAAAUGCGCAGAGAUAUGGAGGAACACCAGUGGCGAAGGCGACUUUCUGGUCUGUAACUGACGCUGAUGUGCGAAAGCGUGGGGAUCAAACAGGAUUAGAUACCCUGGUAGUCCACGCCGUAAACGAUGGGUGCUAAGUGUUAGGGGGUUUCCGCCCCUUAGUGCUGCAGCUAACGCAUUAAGCACUCCGCCUGGGGAGUACGACCGCAAGGUUGAAACUCAAAGGAAUUGACGGGGACCCGCACAAGCGGUGGAGCAUGUGGUUUAAUUCGAAGCAACGCGAAGAACCUUACCAAAUCUUGACAUCCUUUGACAACUCUAGAGAUAGAGCUUUCCCCUUCGGGGGACAAAGUGACAGGUGGUGCAUGGUUGUCGUCAGCUCGUGUCGUGAGAUGUUGGGUUAAGUCCCGCAACGAGCGCAACCCUUAAGCUUAGUUGCCAUCAUUAAGUUGGGCACUCUAAGUUGACUGCCGGUGACAAACCGGAGGAAGGUGGGGAUGACGUCAAAUCAUCAUGCCCCUUAUGAUUUGGGCUACACACGUGCUACAAUGGACAAUACAAAGGGCAGCGAAACCGCGAGGUCAAGCAAAUCCCAUAAAGUUGUUCUCAGUUCGGAUUGUAGUCUGCAACUCGACUACAUGAAGCUGGAAUCGCUAGUAAUCGUAGAUCAGCAUGCUACGGUGAAUACGUUCCCGGGUCU